This 737-nucleotide long non-coding RNA is filed under the name Homo sapiens (human). RNAcentral describes it as "non-protein coding lnc-TNC-21:11". The record is from RNAcentral. Lineage: Eukaryota; Metazoa; Chordata; Mammalia; Primates; Hominidae.
AGGACCAUGUCAUCAAAUUUAGAGAAACUUGAACUAUUCUUGCUUUGACAUGAUAAUGAGAAAACAAUCAGUCCAAAAUGAGUCUUAGAGAGGAAUCAGCACCUUUGAAAACAAAUGUCUCCAACAGGAAAAAGCAUGUUUAUACCUGCUUCUUGAAAGGAGAUAUUCUACAGCCUCAUUAAGAGAAAAGCACGUUACACAGCAGAAAAGAGAUGGGAUUCUUCUGUGGCUGUGCUGCUCACUCAAGGGAGUCUGAACCAUUUUGACCAGGAAAAGCCAAAGGAAAGGCCACUGCCAAGGGCAGACCACACAUUGCCUGAAGUCAUUGUUCUCCAUUCCAGCCCCAAGAACUCUGCGAGAUCGAUGAAAGCAUACAUUGAGAAAUAAAAGUCAUGAGAAAAUUUUACAAAUUAGCUAGCUUUCAUUUCCUGUUGGCUUUUCCAGCACAUGCUUGGCACCAGAUGAGAGUAAUGUGGUAAUGCAGUAAAAUAUCCCUGUGAGACACUAUCUGCUUAGAGACAGGAGGCAGUGAGAUGCUUUAGCCCUUGAUGUCCUAAGGGCCUGUCUGGACAUCGUGAGGUUUUCUCAGAAGCCAAUGUAAUAGACUUUUUGUCAUAUCAAGUUUGUUUUUUAGGGAAUUUCAAGGCAUCAACAUUAUCUAUAUUUCCACUGCCGGCUCUGAUUUGGAAAUGCCAGUAAAGUUGGUGUGCUUUAUAUUUACUUGAUCUCUAAAAAAA